UGGGGAAUAUUGCACAAUGGGCGCAAGCCUGAUGCAGCCAUGCCGCGUGUGUGAAGAAGGCCUCGGUUGUAAAGCACUUUCAGCGAGGAGGAAGGUGGUGAGCUUAAUACGCUCAUCAAUUGACGUUACUCGCAGAAGAAGCACCGGCUAACUCCGUGCCAGCAGCCGCGGUAAUACGGAGGGUGCAAGCGUUAAUCGGAAUUACUGGGCGUAAAGCGCACGCAGGCGGUUUGUUAAGUCAGAUGUGAAAUCCCCGGGCUCAACCUGGGAACUGCAUUUGAAACUGGCAAGCUAGAGUCUCGUAGAGGGGGAUAGAAUUCCAGGUGUAGCGGUGAAAUGCGUAGAGAUCUGGAGGAAUACCGGUGGCGAAGGCGGCCCCCCUGGACGAAGACUGACGCUCAGGUGCGAAAAGGCGUGGGGGAGCAAAACAGGAUUAGAUACCCUGGUAGUCCACGCUGUAAAACGAUGUCGA
RNAcentral lists this ribosomal RNA (472 nucleotides) under uncultured bacterium. Its description in RNAcentral is "partial 16S ribosomal RNA". It matches the Rfam family "Bacterial small subunit ribosomal RNA", at positions 355 to 815 of the family's 1533-position model. The record is from RNAcentral.